This 447-nucleotide ribosomal RNA is filed under the name uncultured bacterium. Its description in RNAcentral is "bacterial SSU rRNA". It matches the Rfam family "Bacterial small subunit ribosomal RNA", at positions 329 to 793 of the family's 1533-position model. The record is from RNAcentral.
UUCCAGACUCCUACGGGAGGCAGCAGUGGGGAAUAUUGGACAAUGGGGGGAACCCUGAUCCAGCGACGCCGCGUGAGUGAAGAAGUAUUUCGGUAUGUAAAGCUCUAUCAGCAGGGAAGAAAAUGACGGUACCUGACUAAGAAGCCCCGGCUAACUACGUGCCAGCAGCCGCGGUAAUACGUAGGGAGCAAGCGUUAUCCGGAUUUAUUGGGUGUAAAGGGUGCGUAGACGGGAAAUUAAGUUAGUUGUGAAAUCCCUCGGCUCAACUGAGGAACUGCAACUAAAACUGAUUUUCUUGAGUGCAGGAGAGGUAAGUGGAAUUCCUAGUGUAGCGGUGAAAUGCGUAGAUAUUAGGAGGAACACCAGUGGCGAAGGCGACUUACUGGACUGUAACUGACGUUGAGGCACGAAAGUGUGGGGAGCAAACAGGAUUAGAUACCCCCGUAA